GAGUUUGAUCGUGGCUCAGAUUGAACGCUGGCGGCAUGCCUUACACAUGCAAGUCGAACGGCAGCACGGGAGCUUGCUCCUGGUGGGCGAGUGGCGAACGGGUGAGUAAUGCAUCGGAACGUAUCCUGGAGUGGGGGAUAACGUAGCGAAAGUUACGCUAAUACCGCAUAUUCUGUGAGCAGGAAAGCGGGGGACCUUCGGGCCUCGCGCUCUUGGAGCGGCCGAUGUCGGAUUAGCUAGUUGGUGAGGUAAAGGCUCACCAAGGCGACGAUCCGUAGCAGGUCUGAGAGGAUGAUCUGCCACACUGGAACUGAGACACGGUCCAGACUCCUACAGGAGGCAGCAGUGGGGAAUUUUGGACAAUGGGGGCAACCCUGAUCCAGCCAUGCCGCGUGAGUGAAGAAGGCCUC
This 410-nucleotide ribosomal RNA is filed under the name bacterium enrichment culture clone ALO1_GLFRUDD03G7KK0. RNAcentral describes it as "bacterial SSU rRNA". It matches the Rfam family "Bacterial small subunit ribosomal RNA", at positions 9 to 418 of the family's 1533-position model. The record is from RNAcentral.